CUGGGCUGGCUGGGCCGGGCUGGGCUGGGCAGGGCCGGCAGCCUGGAGACGCUGGGCUGGGGCAGAGGGCAGCGAGGGAGCCAGAGGGAGCCAGGAAGGGCCUGACCAGGGCCCGGCGGGCGGCGCCGGAGCUGGCGGGAGCCCGACCCAGAGAUGACCCCUUACCAUCAAAGGGAACCGCCCAGGUAAAGGCAGCCCUGUCUGCUAAGUCAGAAGAUAGAGGUUGUUCGUGACUGUCUCCACCCCACCUGCAGAGGAUGACAACCCUCACAGCCACCCGAGGGGCAGCGCUGUCCAGCGGAUGCAGAGGGGACUGCAGGAGCAGCCGUCAGUGCAUGCUCUCCGAGCCCGCUGGCUGCAGGACCCUUCCCUCAGAGGAGUGUGUAACACGGAUCCUGGUUCCCAGCAGCCACACUGCGCGAGGGCCACGCCUUCCCUGAACAACCCCAAACCUGGAAAUGGUGCUGAGCACUCUUCAUCCACUACCUCGAUCAACCCUCGUACCAACCCUGCGAAGCGGACGGGAUUAUUCCCCUGGCUUACAGAUGAGGAAAGCGAGGAAGGGUGUGCUCCUGUAACUGACGCCACAUCCUACAACUACCAGUCAGGGUUGGCGUAAGGACACUCACACAGCUCAAGACUGAGCCUGAGUAAGGGAGCGGGGAAGGGGUAUUCUGUUCAUCAG
Long non-coding RNA from Tupaia belangeri chinensis (Chinese tree shrew), 685 nucleotides. RefSeq lists it as uncharacterized. The record is from RefSeq and is a predicted model, not a curated record. Lineage: Eukaryota; Metazoa; Chordata; Mammalia; Scandentia; Tupaiidae. The transcript is spliced from 2 exons.